GAUGAACGCUGGCGGCGUGCCUAAUACAUGCAAGUCGAGCGGACGGACGAGAAGCUUGCUUCUCUGAUGUUAGCGGCGGACGGGUGAGUAACACGUGGAUAACCUACCUAUAAGACUGGGAUAAGUUCGGGAAACCGGAGCUAAUACCGGACAAUAUGUUGAACCGCAUGGUUCAAAAGUGAAAGACGGUCUUGCUGUCACUUAUAGAUGGAUCCGCGCUGCAUUAGCUAGUUGGUAAGGUAACGGCUUACCAAGGCAACGAUGCAUAGCCGACCUGAGAGGGUGAUCGGCCACACUGGAACUGAGACACGGUCCAGACUCCUACGGGAGGCAGCAGUAGGGAAUCUUCCGCAAUGGGCGAAAGCCUGACGGAGCAACGCCGCGUGAGUGAUGAAGGUCUUCGGAUCGUAAAACUCUGUUAUUAGGGAAGAAGAUAUGUGUAAGUAACUGUGCACAUCUUGACGGUACCUAAUCAGAAAGCCACGGCUAACUACGUG
Molecule: ribosomal RNA, 497 nt
Filed under: uncultured bacterium
Lineage: Bacteria
Description: partial 16S ribosomal RNA
Rfam family: Bacterial small subunit ribosomal RNA
Source: RNAcentral